RNAcentral lists this transfer RNA (71 nucleotides) under Candidatus Chlorohelix allophototropha. Its description in RNAcentral is "tRNA-Gln". It matches the Rfam family "tRNA". From Rfam's summary of the family: Transfer RNA (tRNA) molecules are approximately 80 nucleotides in length. Their secondary structure includes four short double-helical elements and three loops (D, anti-codon, and T loops). Further hydrogen bonds mediate the characteristic L-shaped molecular structure. tRNAs have two regions of fundamental functional importance: the anti-codon, which is responsible for specific mRNA codon recognition, and the 3' end, to which the tRNAs corresponding amino acid is attached (by aminoacyl-tRNA synthetases). tRNAs cope with the degeneracy of the genetic code in two manners: having more than one tRNA (with a specific anti-codon) for a particular amino acid; and 'wobble' base-pairing, i.e. permitting non-standard base-pairing at the 3rd anti-codon position. Lineage: Bacteria; Bacillati; Chloroflexota; Chloroflexia; Candidatus Chloroheliales; Candidatus Chloroheliaceae. The record is from RNAcentral. RNAcentral also lists the same sequence under 1 other name.
UGGGGUAUCGUCUAACGGUAGGACAGCUGACUCUGAAUCAGUAAGUUGGGGUUCGAAUCCCUGUACCCCAG